Molecule: ribosomal RNA, 299 nt
Filed under: uncultured bacterium
Lineage: Bacteria
Description: partial 16S ribosomal RNA
Rfam family: Bacterial small subunit ribosomal RNA
Source: RNAcentral
UCCUACGGGAGGCAGCAGUGAGGAAUAUUGGUCAAUGGGCGGAAGCCUGAACCAGCCAAGUCGCGUGAGGGAAUAAGGCCCUACGGGUCGUAAACCUCUUUUGCCGGGGAGCAGGGGCGGGGACGUGUCCCGGCCCGGAGAGUACCCGGAGAAAAAGCAUCGGCUAACUCCGUGCCAGCAGCCGCGGUAAUACGGAGGAUGCGAGCGUUAUCCGGAUUUAUUGGGUUUAAAGGGUGCGUAGGCGGGCUUUUAAGUCAGCGGUAAAAAUUCGGGGCUCCACCCCGUCCGGUCGUUCGAAC